This 254-nucleotide ribosomal RNA is filed under the name uncultured bacterium. RNAcentral's name for it is "partial 16S ribosomal RNA". It matches the Rfam family "Bacterial small subunit ribosomal RNA", at positions 524 to 775 of the family's 1533-position model. The record is from RNAcentral.
UACAGGGGGGUGCAAACGUUGCUCGGAAUCAUUGGGCGUAAAGCGCACGUAGGCGGUUCGUUAUGUCGGAUGUGAAAGCCCUUGGCUUAACCGAGGAAGUGCAUCCGAAACUGGCGAGCUAGAGUACGAAAGAGGAUCGCGGAAUUCCCGGUGUAGAGGUGAAAUUCGUAGAUAUCGGGAGGAACACCGGGUGGCGAAGGCGGCGAUCUGGGUCGAUACUGACGCUGAGGUGCGAAAGCGUGGGGAGCAACAGG